UGUUCAUUCACGUAACUAUUAUUUAAAUUCAUGAGUGAGCAACUCCGAUGAAGUGUUUGCUUUGUGUCAAAUAGAACUCGAAAUUUUCCUUUGUAGAGAAACAAAGAGUCAGGUACCUUUUAUGUCAGAAUAGCGGUCGAAAAACCGGCAUUUCAAAGUAUCCACGAAGUCAGAGUCCGUGAAGUGAACGGAAAAUACAACGAUGUAAGACACCAGCGGCGGAAAUUCAAGAUCUCAUCACGACUGGCACGACAAGUCCUCCUCAAAUUCAAUAUUCAUUUUUCUUAGUAUUCCUUUCAACGGAAUCCAAGAUUGCCCAGAUUGCCACUAGCUUGACGUGAUCUCAUGACGCACUUGAACUACACUCUCACGCCGAAAUUAACAUCAAUGAGCCGCAGAAAAUUAUUCGUCCGUACGAAUGCAUUUUUGUUCGUGCUGGUGUUGGCGUUCGUCUUCCUGUGCGUGCGUUACUUGCCGGCACGAGGAUGCUGGACGAACGAGUCUUCCAAGACAGAAAGUAAAACUAAAUACAGACUGAUCGUUCUAAUCCUUAGCAGCCCGGACAAUCUGGAACGCCGGGAUACUAUCCGCAAGACCUGGUUGGUGGAUUACCAUGCCACGGUGCGCCACUUAUUCGUCAUCGGCACCCUGGACAUUUUGCCGGAACAAAGAAACACGCUACUGUCGGAGAAGGAUAAAUUCAAUGAUCUGCUACUGUUACCUAGACUUCAAGACUCCUACAGCAUGCUGACGAAGAAGAUGCUACAUGCACUCAAGGCUACCCACGAGCGUUACGAUUUUGACUUCUUGCUUAAAUGCGACGACGACACCUACGUGCUGGUGCACAAAAUCCUGAAAGAACUUGACAGAUGGGAGAACAGGGGCACCAGGCGAGAGCUCUACUGGGGCUUCUUCAACGGCCGGGCGCAGGUGAAGAGGAGUGGUCCGUGGAAAGAAACUGAUUGGAUUCUCUGUGAUUAUUAUCUCCCGUAUGCUCUGGGAGGCGGCUACGUCUUAUCCUACAAUCUGGUCAAAUUUAUUGCAAGCAACGUGGAUAUCCUCAAGCUGCACAAUUCGGAGGACGUGUCCAUUGGUCUCUGGUUAGCACCAUUGGCGAAUAUUGAGAGAAAACACGAUGUACGUUUCGACACGGAAUAUAGGUCGCGCGGCUGCUCCAAUCAGUACAUAAUCACUCACAAGCAAACUAUUCAGAAUAUGAAGAGCAUGCAUGAGUAUUAUCAAGCUUCUGGGGUGUUAUGUUCGAAGGAAGUGAGAAAUCGUAUGAGUUAUCAGUAUAACUGGACCGCACCGCCUAGUCAAUGCUGCAACAGACAGUCGGGUAUUCCCUGAGACGCUAGAAGAGAAGCAUCGUUCUAGUCCCAUCUUUUGAUAUUCGCUCAAUAUUCUCACGUCGUUAUUUAUUCUAUUCCGCAAUAUGAUAUUCAACAACUAGCCUGACAUGGACUUAAUAAGUGCUGUUGAGCAACAUAAAAGAGCUGUAGAGAGUUGUUAAUUGCGAACUCGCGACGUUCUUUUAAUAAUCGAGACGAUCGACGAUUUCGUAUACAUUUGGAUCUACAUAUUAUUCGAGAAAUUGUUACACGACACUACUAUAAUUAACUGACAACGCUUGUAAAUACAUUUUGUAAAUAUUUAGCGAUGGAUAUAGAUAGAUUAUCGGGAGUUACGUUUCCAUAAACCAAAUAUAUAUUUUUCAAUCAUA
RNAcentral lists this unclassified non-coding RNA (1723 nucleotides) under Harpegnathos saltator (Jerdon's jumping ant). Its description in RNAcentral is "beta-1,3-galactosyltransferase 6, transcript variant X2". Lineage: Eukaryota; Metazoa; Arthropoda; Insecta; Hymenoptera; Formicidae. The record is from RNAcentral.